CAUGCAAGUCGAGCGGUAGAGAGAAGCUUGCUUCUCUUGAGAGCGGCGGACGGGUGAGUAAUGCCUAGGAAUCUGCCUGGUAGUGGGGGAUAACGUUCGGAAACGGACGCUAAUACCGCAUACGUCCUACGGGAGAAAGCAGGGGACCUUCGGGCCUUGCGCUAUCAGAUGAGCCUAGGUCGGAUUAGCUAGUUGGUGGGGUAAUGGCUCACCAAGGCGACGAUCCGUAACUGGUCUGAGAGGAUGAUCAGUCACACUGGAACUGAGACACGGUCCAGACUCCUACGGGAGGCAGCAGUGGGGAAUAUUGGACAAUGGGCGAAAGCCUGAUCCAGCCAUGCCGCGUGUGUGAAGAAGGUCUUCGGAUUGUAAAGCACUUUAAGUUGGGAGGAAGGGCCGUUACCUAAUACGUGAUGGUUUUGACGUUACCGACAGAAUAAGCACCGGCUAACUCUGUGCCAGCAGCCGCGGUAAUACAGAGGGUGCAAGCGUUAAUCGGAAUUACUGGGCGUAAAGCGCGCGUAGGUGGUUUGUUAAGUUGGAUGUGAAAUCCCCGGGCUCAACCUGGGAACUGCAUUCAAAACUGACUGACUAGAGUAUGGUAGAGGGUGGUGGAAUUUCCUGUGUAGCGGUGAAAUGCGUAGAUAUAGGAAGGAACACCAGUGGCGAAGGCGACCACCUGGACUGAUACUGACACUGAGG
RNAcentral lists this ribosomal RNA (702 nucleotides) under Pseudomonas sp. RNAcentral's name for it is "bacterial SSU rRNA". It matches the Rfam family "Bacterial small subunit ribosomal RNA", at positions 54 to 751 of the family's 1533-position model. The record is from RNAcentral. Lineage: Bacteria; Pseudomonadati; Pseudomonadota; Gammaproteobacteria; Pseudomonadales; Pseudomonadaceae.